RNAcentral lists this ribosomal RNA (468 nucleotides) under uncultured bacterium. RNAcentral describes it as "partial 16S ribosomal RNA". It matches the Rfam family "Bacterial small subunit ribosomal RNA", at positions 28 to 507 of the family's 1533-position model. The record is from RNAcentral.
GACGAACGCUGGCGGCGUGCUUAACACAUGCAAGUCGAACGGAAAGGCCCUGCUUUUGUGGGGUGCUCGAGUGGCGAACGGGUGAGUAACACGUGAGUAACCUGCCCUUGACUUUGGGAUAACUUCAGGAAACUGGGGCUAAUACCGGAUAGGAGCUCCUGCUGCAUGGUGGGGGUUGGAAAGUUUCGGCGGUUGGGGAUGGACUCGCGGUUUAUCAGCUUGUUGGUGGGGGAGUGGCUUACCAAGGCUUUGACGGGUAGCCGGCCUGAGAGGGUGACCGGCCACAUUGGGACUGCGAUACGGCGCAAACUCCUACCGGAGGCAGCAAUGGGGAAUGUUGCACAAUGGGCGGAGGCCUGAUGCAGCAACGCCGCGUGCGGGAAGACGGCCUUCGGGUUGGAAACCGCUUUCGCCUAUGACGAAGCGUGAGUGACGGUAAUGGGUAAAGAAGCACCGGCUAACUCCGUG